CCUACGGGAGGCAGCAGUGAGGAAUAUUGGUCAAUGGCCGGAAGGCUGAACCAGCCAUGCCGCGUGAAGGUCAGUGCCCUAUGGGCGUUAAACUUCUUUUGUGCGGGAGCAAUAAUGGUCACGUGUGGCCAGACGAGAGUACCGUACGAAUAAGCAUCGGCUAACUCCGUGACAGCAGCCGCGGUAAUACGGGGGAUGCAAGCGUUAUCCGGAUUUAUUGGGUUUAAAGGGUGCGUAGGCUGUGAGGUAAGUCAGCGGUGAAAUGCCCCCGCUCAACGGGGUGAAGUGCCAUUGAUACUGCCUGGCUGGAGUGCGGAUGCCGUGGGAGGAAUGUGUGGUGUAGCGGUGAAAUGCAUAGAUAUCACACAGAACACCGAUUGCGAAGGCAUCUCACGAAUCCGCGAUUGACGCUGAUGCACGAAGGCGUGGGUAUCAAACAGGAUUAGAUACCCCAGUAGUC
Molecule: ribosomal RNA, 460 nt
Filed under: uncultured bacterium
Lineage: Bacteria
Description: partial 16S ribosomal RNA
Rfam family: Bacterial small subunit ribosomal RNA
Source: RNAcentral